RNAcentral lists this ribosomal RNA (784 nucleotides) under Lacticaseibacillus zeae. RNAcentral's name for it is "bacterial SSU rRNA". It matches the Rfam family "Bacterial small subunit ribosomal RNA", at positions 28 to 776 of the family's 1533-position model. The record is from RNAcentral. Lineage: Bacteria; Bacillati; Bacillota; Bacilli; Lactobacillales; Lactobacillaceae.
GAUGAACGCUGGCGGCGUGCCUAAUACAUGCAAGUCGAACGAGUUCUGAUUAUUGAAAGGUGCUUGCAUCUUGAUUUAAUUUUGAACGAGUGGCGGACGGGUGAGUAACACGUGGGUAACCUGCCCUUAAGUGGGGGAUAACAUUUGGAAACAGAUGCUAAUACCGCAUAAAUCCAAAAACCGCAUGGUUCUUGGCUGAAAGAUGGCGUAAGCUAUCGCUUUUGGAUGGACCCGCGGCGUAUUAGCUAGUUGGUGAGGUAACGGCUCACCAAGGCAAUGAUACGUAGCCGAACUGAGAGGUUGAUCGGCCACAUUGGGACUGAGACACGGCCCAAACUCCUACGGGAGGCAGCAGUAGGGAAUCUUCCACAAUGGACGCAAGUCUGAUGGAGCAACGCCGCGUGAGUGAAGAAGGCUUUCGGGUCGUAAAACUCUGUUGUUGGAGAAGAAUGGUCGGCAGAGUAACUGUUGUCGGCGUGACGGUAUCCAACCAGAAAGCCACGGCUAACUACGUGCCAGCAGCCGCGGUAAUACGUAGGUGGCAAGCGUUAUCCGGAUUUAUUGGGCGUAAAGCGAGCGCAGGCGGUUUUUUAAGUCUGAUGUGAAAGCCCUCGGCUUAACCGAGGAAGUGCAUCGGAAACUGGGAAACUUGAGUGCAGAAGAGGACAGUGGAACUCCAUGUGUAGCGGUGAAAUGCGUAGAUAUAUGGAAGAACACCAGUGGCGAAGGCGGCUGUCUGGUCUGUAACUGACGCUGAGGCUCGAAAGCAUGGGUAGCGAACAGG